GCCGGGCAUGGUAGCGUGUGCCUGUAAUCCUGGCUACUUGGGAGGCUGAGGCAGGGGAAUUGCUUGAACCCAGGAGGCGGAGGUUGCAGUGAGCUGAGAUUGCGCCACUGCACUCCAGCCUGGGUGACAGAGCAAGACUCUGUCUCAA
This 148-nucleotide signal recognition particle RNA is filed under the name Pongo abelii (Sumatran orangutan). RNAcentral describes it as "Metazoan signal recognition particle RNA (ENSPPYG00000039506.1)". It matches the Rfam family "Metazoan signal recognition particle RNA". Rfam says of the family: The signal recognition particle (SRP) is a universally conserved ribonucleoprotein. It is involved in the co-translational targeting of proteins to membranes. Lineage: Eukaryota; Metazoa; Chordata; Mammalia; Primates; Hominidae. The record is from Rfam by way of RNAcentral.